CUCAGCUCAAUAGAAAGCUCAAGUCCUAUACAGUUGUCAGUUCAGUUGAACCAGAGGUUCAAUUACGCUGUGUAGCUGCUCCAGGGUAGCCUCUGCCUCAGAAGAAGACAAGAUAAGUGAUUGAUCUGCCACUGAUGCUCUGCCCCCAGGAGCUUUUCUUUCUCCAUUCCUGGCUCCUGGAGGAUAUACAUCUUUCCACACCAAUAGACCUUGUUUUCCGAUGUAGCAUUAUUUUUCAUAGUUGGCGAAUAUACAGUUAUGGAUUCAUAACAGCAAGAUGGAGAAAUUGCACUGCAGAGAAAUCUUUAAAAGCAAUUACCUAAUACUGCAGAUUGCUGAACUGUACCCACACCCAAGACUGAGCAUUGGAUCAAUCCAGAAUAUACAUCAGGUGUUCUGCAAUGUCUGCCUAAAACCAUGACUCUGCCUCCUCCAGCUGUUGCUACAUCUCACUAUGGGUUUCCUGUGACAUUUUGAGCAAGUAUGCCUCUGUGACUGGGGUUCUUACACUCCAGAAUGGAUGAGAAGCACCGUAAGUGGCUUUUAAAAUGAAUAUUCCCUGGCCCUUCAGUCGCUCUAUAGGUCAAGAAUCUGAAUUCUCAACCUGUCUAGAAGGUUCUGGUUUUAAUGGUCUGUGGGCUGCACAUUGAGAAACCUGUUCAGCGAGUGCAACAAAGGUUCCACAUGUGAGAAAGGAAGCAUCAGGUCUCUUGAGCCUGUUCUUUAAUCUGUAGGCUGCACCUUCUCUUUAAAUUCUGCUAAUAACACCAUGCGAGAAAACACCCGAGCUUGAAAAGCCCAUGUUCCAACAUAACUGUCCUUCACCACUCUGGAAAAUUAAUGGUUUGUUUCGAUUAUCCCUUUGUUAAACUCCAAAGUCAAAGAGCUCUGAAAGGCAUACGGUUAUUUUAAGUUUCAGGUGAUUUCUGUUGCCAAAUAUUUUAAAAAUUUAAAAUUGCUACGUGACCUCUUAGUAGUACUAUUAGAUUUCCUGACAAUAAAAAUAAGUCUUUUGGUUUCACCAUUUAUAGUUAGUACAGCUAAUAUUAAGUAUAAUUUUAAAAGCCUUUUAUUUUCUCAGAAAGAAAAAAUAAUCAAAAUCUGCUCAGUGUGGUAUUGAAUAAUUAAAAACAAAAGAACAGUAUCUUCACAUUAGUGUUUAAUAUUAAUUGCUUUUUUACCCUUGACACUGGUGCUAAUUAAAUUUUCAUUUUAUUUUCCAUGACUUGUUUAAACAGUUUUUGCAAAUUAUUGCUAAUCAGCCUAAUAAAACUGAAUCACCUAUUAAACAAUUUUGUUUUGAAUUAAAUGGCAUUAAAAUAAUUCUGGCUGCCUUGUGUUAUAAUGUGUUACAAGAAUACCAACCGCUACAGGUAAUAUG
Molecule: long non-coding RNA, 1381 nt
Filed under: Homo sapiens (human)
Lineage: Eukaryota; Metazoa; Chordata; Mammalia; Primates; Hominidae
Description: HSALNT0331886
Source: RNAcentral